GUCUUCUGGCUUUUCUGUAGAUCAAAAAGUUUCCUGCCUAAGCACACAGAUAUUCUUUCACACACCAUAGCGGCCCUUUUAUGAAUCCCACACUGUAACAGUCUGCCUUCUACACCAGUUGAGAGCCCAGUGCGUCAGCUCUCAAGAUAAAAUGCAUGGUUAACACACAAUUAGUGGGAGAGGUUGUCUCCAGGAGAAUUUAUCUUAUAACGAAAGAAGCAGAAACAGCUAUUUUCCCCCUUUUUCUCCUCCCUUUUUUUUUUUUUUGAAAUAGCAAAGAGGGUGCGGUCAGAUGUUAGGGUUUUGCCUGAGAAAAGGGCCCUACACAGCACUAGGACCCACUAAAUACUAGCAGAGCAGCCUGGGAAGGGAGCCAACGGGAAGGACUUUGUUUGACCCAGCUGCCAAUCUCCCCCGAAGCCGUGCGCCAGACUAAACACUCACACUAUUUUAACUCAAAUCAGGCUACAGCAGCUGUUUGCUUUCCGGCUCUGAGCUCGGCACCCACAUGGCCUGUGUAGUUCACCCGCGAGCUUUGUGAGCUGCCUUGCUGAAAUCUGUUCCGGGGUGGGAUUUAUCAGUGGAAAGAAAAAUUUAACCCUGCUCUUCAUGGUUAACACGGAUUGCUUGUUUCUCAGCUUUUGCUCUGGUCACUGGAAGGUGAUUUUAUAGUUUUUGAAAACAGGAGUGAUGAUUUUACAUCCAAGGGAGAGAUUUGGGAUUUGAAGGUGAUGCUCCUGCAUUGGGAGAAAUAUGACAGUUCUGGAGGAUGUGAGCGUUGGACUGAGGACUAACACCACCACUUAGGUAAUCUUGUGGCAUUCUGCACUGAUCUUAUUGGAUUUCAAUGGUUUCUUCUGGAAAAGUGAUUCACUGAAGAAGAAAAACUCAUUUCCCAAAAUAUUUCAAAGUGCCUGAGGAAGCCUACGUGACUUGCUUGCCUUUUAGAUGGAGAACACAUUAUCAUUUGGGGCCAUGUUCACAGGUCACUAUGAUGAUGCUGCAUGUUUAUCAGAGACUAAUGUCAUAUCUCCCACCAAGAAAUCUCAAAAAUGCUGUGCUAUUUACUUACAACUGACAUGUUUAAUUUAAUGAAAAACACAAACUAGACAUUAGUUGCUAUAGAUACCACAUAAGGAUGUUUUAACAGAAUUCAGUGAAAAUAAAAUAUGAUGUUGAAGUAGGAAAGCACUAAGUCUUUUCCUCAGUGCCCAUGGAGAUGGGGAGCGGUGUCAUAUCUUUGCAGGCAAACACUCAUAUACAUAAAAUAAGUCCUUUAAAAAUAUAAAUUCUUAGAAAAACAAAUACUGUAAACAGCAGAAAUUAACAUUUUUAUAACAAGGGUUAAAAGCAGUAGAACAGCUUAAAAUAAUAGGUGCCCCAUAAAAUAUAUACUUCAUAAUAAACUAGUAGUCUAUGUUUUAAUGGAGUUUCAAUGUUUUCCUUUGCAAAAAUUUCACAUUUUAGAGAGUGAAGCAAAUAUAACAGCAAAAUAGAUUUUGAAUACUUAUUCUUUUUCUGAAUAAUGUUUCUAGUUUUAAAGGAGUCACAAGGUAGGAAUUUUAUGGCUAAUACCACCUGGAAUAUUAAUGAAAAUAAAUUCAUUAAAACUUUUUAAUUCCAAUGUUCACUUUAAUCACAUUCAUACUGAACUUGCAAAGGCAUGCUAGGUAAAUAACAUUUUUGUGUCAUCAGCAUCCUCACCAAAACUCAUUGACCAUCUCUAGGGCUUCUGGAAGAAAAGGAAUACACAUAAGGCAUAUUAAUAUAUGCCAUGGUUAGUGGUAACUAUUAACUUCAUAGGCACAAGAAUCAGUAGUGAGAUAGUAGUCUUGGACACGCUAGUGGGGGGAUUGUCUUGAUUAGGUUAGCUGAUGUGAGAGGAGCCAUAUUAACCUUAGUGGGAUUAUUCCAGGCAUCCUGGACUGCAUGAAAUGAAGAAAGUAAGAUGUUCAGGAGCAUCCAUUGAUCUUGGUUCCUGAUUGUGAUAUAAUGUGACCAUCUUCACAAGCUCCUGACACUUUUACUUCUCCACCAUAAUGGACUAUGACCCUGCAAUGUAACCUCAAAUAAACCCUUCCUCCCUGAAGCUGCUUUUCUCGGGGCAUUUUAUCACAGCAACAUGAAAGAAACCAAGACAAGCCAUAUCCCAAACAGAUUUUAUCUUAAAUAACGCUUGCUCUCGAUCCAAAACCUAAGAACAUUAAGUCCAGAAUAAAGGUUCUAACUGAAUCAGACCAAAUAAUGCCCUUCAACUGAAGAAUGGAUAAACACAAUGUAGUACAUAUACACAAUGGAAUACUACUCAGCAGAGAAAAACAAUGGCAUCAUGAGGUUUGCAGACAAAUGGAUGGAUCUAGAAAAAAAUCAUCCUGAGUGAGGUAACCCAGACUCAGAAAGACAAACAUGGUAUGUACUCACUCAUAGCAGGAUACUAGACAUGAAACAAGGAUGACUUGUCUGCUACUCACAUCACCAGAGAGGCUACCUGGAAAACAGGACCCCAAGAAAGACACAGGGAUCGCCCAAUGACAGAGAAAUGGAAUGAGAUCUACAUGAACAGCCUGGACAUGAGUGGGGGUAGUGUAAGGCGAGGGUCGAGGGAAAGAGAGCUUGGGGGAGCGGGAGAUCCCAGCUGGUUUCUGAAACUUGACUAGUAGAGGAAAAAUGAAGCUGGUGAGGUAAAAUGGUAGUGGGGAUUAUCCAAGAAUAGUGUUUCUUUAGUCUUUUACCUAAAAUGACCCUUUAGCUCUUUUCCUUUUUGUGUUCUUGGUUGUCCCUGUCUACUACCACAGUCUUAGGAGGUCCUAUAGAGAGACUUCUGAAUAGGAUAGGGAGUAAAAAGAAGUCAUUCCAAAUAUAUAAUCCUAGAAAGGACUUUAAUUGUAAAAACAUCAAGAAACAGAGGAGCCCCCACGCCACUAGAUGCACAUGAGUUAUGUGAACUUGAUUUUGCAAGUCAUUUAAAAGUCCUUUAGGCAUCAAGAUCUUUUAACCAACUGCUGCAUACACACGGCGAAGACUUUGAUGACCUAAAGUACUAACCACAUUUUCUAAGGUUAAAAAUCGUUGCUUGCGAUGAGGGCUAAAGAUGGAUCAGGGUUUGAGAGCACCUGUUGCUCUUUCUAGGGAACAGGAAUCACUUCCCAACACCCACAUGGCAGCUAACAACCAUCUGUAACUAACUAUACUCCCAGGCAAUUUGACACCCUCUUUUGGCCUGUGCAGGCACCACACAUACAUAGUGCACAGACAUACAUGUCAGCAGUCCAAUAUGUUGGAACUUGGUCAUAAGAAUGAUUCAUGGCUGAGCAAUGCCUUGGGGAACUGUGAGAGAGGCUCUAGGAAAAAGAGCUAAGAGCCUUUUACCUCACGUGCAUUUUUAUUUCCUGGAUUGUUCUUGGAUGUGAUUCCAUGCCUCCUGUGUUAAACAUUUACAUUCAAUUUAUAAGAUAUGUUUAUUCUUGCCGGGCGGUGGUGGCGCACGCCUUUAAUCCCAGCACUCGGGAGGCAGAGCCAGGCGGAUCUCUGUGAGUUCGAGGCCAGCCUGGUCUCCAAAACGAGUUCCAGGAAAGGCGCAAAGCUACACAGAGAAACCCUGUCUCGAAAAACCAAAAAAAAAAAAAAAAAAAAAAAAAGAUAUGUUUAUUCUUAUUGGAUGUCAUAAUGUAGUUAUAGAACCCAAUCUGGCCAGUGUGUCUUGAAUCUGGAUAUGGCCUUUUGCCUUGCUUUUGUGAUUUCCCAGAUAUAAUCUAUAGUACAUGCCAGGCAAUUGUCUUUAAAUUGGUCUGUUCUGAGAAAGUUCUGGGAAAGGGGCUACUCUGUCAGUAUGUAGUAUGUGCUUACUGGCAUUUAUUUACAUGUUUUUCUGAACUCAAACAACUUUUCUUAGAUCACUGCUUUGUUGUGUUCAUGUAUAAAAGUACACUGAAAAUGAAGUCAGAUUGUCUACAGCAUUAGACUGUAGUCUGUCCCAUUUUUUCAGGUCCUCAGAUCCCAGGUCCCAUCAGACAUUUUCUACACAGGUUAGCUAAAAAGUCAACAAGUGGCUCCUGAAUCAGAGAUCUGAAUGAAAAACUAAGACAGAGGAAUUGAGGAUCCCUGCAGAAGGAGGUCUUCAAUUUGCUGUGGUUGAUUGCCUAGUGUCAAGCCAAGCUGAUGGAAGAAUGCAUCUGUGUCAUCCUCCUGCCUGGUAAGAACUAUUUUUCUUUCAUCAUUUAAAAAAUAUCCUCAUUCUUCACUACACCAAGAAAACUUAAGCACCCACGUAAACAAAAGCCAGUGCAGAAAACAUCCCUGGGAUCCCAGUGAUGGGAGGCAGAGACAAGUGGGAUUAAUCAAGCCCACUGACCAUCUCAUCUAGAUGGACAGGGAGGACCCAGCAUCAUUGAGAGAACCUUUUUUCAAAAAAUACAGUGGAAGGUGACUGAGAAGAUAACUAAUGUCAACCAUGGACUCCACAGAACAGAAGAUAGUGGGAUUACAGCUUCUUGUUGGGAUUAUAUACAUAACUAUGCAGACUCUGUAGACAGCAUCUGGAGACAUGGGACUGGGGCACUUCCCUUUCAAAGUCAACCAGGUCUUUGUGGUAACAUCACGGUAAGAGAUAAGUACUUAGCAAAAUCAGACAUAUUAUUAGGGGUAUCAUGAACAGUUCUAUUUCAAAAGGUGAAGAAGCAAUCAUCUUUCACAGAGAAUUGUCAGAAAGGAAAACAGCUGUACUAUCUUGGGACACAACUUUCAAAUGUAUUAUGUCUUCAUGAUUCUAAUAUUAAAAACCCAGAAGAGUUACUACAUUAAGUCUUGUUAAGAGUUGUACAAUUUAUUCCAGAAAAAUUAUAAUAACAAAUAUUUCAGUUACUUUAUUACAAAGAAUAUAACAUACAUUAAACUAAGUUUCUGUGCUGUGGGAUGCUCUAUAUGCUGUGAAUGUGUUGUUCUGAUUGGUUGAUAAAUAAAAAUAAAUAAAAUAAAUAAAAAAAUGCUGAUUGGCCAGUAGCCAGGGAGGAAGUAUUGACAGGAUAAACAGAAAAGGAGAAUUCCAGGAGGUGGACGGCUGAGUCAGUAGAUACCAGCCCACCAUCCAGGGAGCAGUAUGCAAUGGCAUACAGGUAAAGCCACAGGACACGUGACAACAUAUAGAUGAACAGAAAUGGGCUGAGUUUAAAUGUAAGAGGCAGUCAGUGGUAGGCCUGAGCUAAUGGCCAACCAAUUUUAAUUAAUAUAAGCUUCUAAGUGAUUAUUUUAUAAGCGGCUGCUGGACUGUGGGACCAUGAGAGCUGGGUGGGACCAGGAAAACUUCAGCUACAUUUCUGUAUGAUAUCACAGUGAAAAACUUUGGAUAUUUUUAUUUCUGAGAACCAUUAUUUAAAAAAAAAAGUUUAUUCUAGGACCAAGCCUCAUUUUUGAGGUUGGUAAAAAUUUAAAUUCAAGAGAUUUUCAUGGAAAUAUUAAUCAUUCAUUUUUCAUUCACAUUUUUUUCACCAUUAGCUGAGUGCCUUCCAGUUCUAGGCUGAGACUUUCAGAGAGCUGAUGAGAGUCAUACUUAGGAUGUCUAUGACUCCGUUUAGAGGUGGUUAUAUUAGAAUUAUAAAGGUAUUCUGUUUUCCUUUUUCCUUUUUGCUGAGAAUACAUGGCAUAUCAUGCAUUUUUUUUUCUCAUGAUGAUAACAAACCAUGACUGGAGUCAAACUCUUUUUUUCUAUAAGAGAAUGUGUGAUGUCAGACUUUCAAGUAGUCAAAACACCAAAUUUGUGUGGGAAAUGGCACCUGGUUUAAGUCUCUUUGGUGUGGAGUCACACUGGCUGUCUUUUCCUCUUUAUUUCAGAGAACCAAUGUUCCGGCAAGGAAAUUCAAACGUAAAGGAGACAAAUUUGCUUAAAAUUUAUCUUAGAAAAAAAAUGAGAGGGUCUUCUGAACAUCAUUCAGGGCUAUAGUUUUCUGACAAGGAAAUGCUGUGGCAAGGUACAGUGGUGAGGAGAUCUAUCCAUGGGGAAAGCUGCAUCCCAACACGAAAAGGAGACCUGGUGUAAAGGCCACAGUGAAGCGAUCACUCACUUGACAAGAAUUGUGACUAUUUAAAAUAUAUAAAAUUCUAGAAGACUACUUCAUCAAGCAGUCAAUCAAAUGCCCAGAAUUUAGACAUUCAAACACUUAUUCUGGCAUUUUAGUGGAUGUAUUUAAAACGUUUUUCCUUUUUUAAAAACAAAGGAGGGAAAAAUUAAUAGGCGAACUGCCAUUAAAUUUAACUCUAAGUAGGUCAUCUAGUUUUAAAAGGAUGUUUAAAAGGAUGGUAUCCAUACAUUUAGUUUUGUUUAAUGAAAAUUUAAUCAUACAGAUAUGUUUUGUUAUUUAAAAAACAUUACUAAAUGUCAUUUGCUGUGGAUAUUGCUCUAUAUAAAUAAAGCACUGAUUGGCCAGUGACCAGGCAGGAAGUAUAGGCGGGACAAGGAGAGAGGAGAAUUGAGGAAGGAGGAAGGAAAGGGAGACCGGCUGGAGCCACCGCCAAGACAAGGAAGAAAUAAAGUACCGGUAAGCCACGAGUCACGUGGCAAAGUAGAGAUUAAUAGAAAUGGGCUGAAUAUAAGAGUGAGAGCUAGACAAUGAUAGGCCUGAGAUAAUGGCCAAGCAGUUUAAAUAAUGUAAGAUUCUGUGUGUUUAUUUUAUAAGUGGGCUCCGGAACUGGUGGGACUUGGCGGGGGGAGCUGGAGAAAAAUUCUCCAGCUACAGUCAUUAAAAGAUCAUUUUGAGAUCAACUAUGGUUUAGAUAAGUAUUCCCCAAAAGUCUGUGGCUAUAAAUCUCAUUUCUUGCACAGGAUAUUACUGGAUGGUGGUAGAAACUAUUGGGUAUGGAACAACAGAGGAGAUGCUCAUGUGGCUAUAAAUCUCAUUUCUUGCACAGGAUAUUACUGGAUGGUGGUAGAAACUAUUGGGUAUGGAACAACAGAGGAGAUGCUCAUGACAUUGGGACCAUACUUUUUUCUAAUUUGUUUUGGGGCCCAUGAAGUGAAGAACAUCUCUGUAUGUGUUCUCUACCAUUGCCUUCUAAGAUCUAAGAGCAAAGAUUCUGCUUGCUCUUUGAUCACAAUCUCUAAAUCCAGAGAGACAAAAAAUUUUCUGUUUAAAAGUUGAUUAUAUUGGGUAUUUAGUACUAUAAUCAUCAAAAGCCCCACAAGUCUUAGUGCUACAUUUGGAUAACAAAUUAAUGUGUGAUCUUCUAAGUCAACUUCAUAAUAGGCCUUUUAUUAGUUUUAUAUCUUCAUACAUUAUAUGUGCAUUACCUUUCAACAUUAAAAAGGAAGACAUGAAACAGGAUAAGGAUGUAUUAGAGGUUACAGGGCAGUUGGAAAAGGGAAAUGGGGUGUGGCUAUGAUCAUAUUUUAUUGUACUCAUGCAUGAAAUGCUCAAAACACAAAAUAGGUAAAUACAAAUAAGUACUACAAAAUGUUAAUGCAUCAGAAGAUGUUUUGAUAGAGUUAAUAAAUAAGGCAAAAUCCAGAAAAAUUCUAGAGAAAUAUUUCUAAGUAAACAAUUAUUUAUAAAUCACCCCUGUGGCAAUCAUCAAGCAGAAAGGACUGGAAUGUGCUCUACUCACUAACUGUUCCAUCAAGAAGCAAUGGUUCUUUUUUUUAAAAAAAGGUGAUAUACACUAUUGUGGAGUGGAAAUUUCCACCUCCAAGAGCAGCCACAUCAUCCAAAUUGAUGAGGAUUUCAGCUUAAAAGUUGGAAACCAAAUGGUCAUCUCCUCAAACCUGGAUGGUUUACUAAUAAUACAAAAGCAUCAAUCUUUGGUCAAAAAUUAUGUUUUCGUAACAUUUUAACUUAACAAAAACCUUUUUGUGACUUGAUACCAUAUGAUUUCCAUGAGUAAUUAGAUGUUAACUGGUGUCUGGAUUAUAUUCAUAUAUGUAGAAAAUUUACAACAAUGCUUGAUGAAAGUACUAUUUUUUUAUUGUUACAAAUGCUUUUUAACCUACAAGUGGGUUAUAUAGCAAUAAAAACCAUUGUAAGUUAAAAGAAUCAUACACUGAAAACAUAUUUUACAAUCCUAUUGUGGGAUAUUCCUUUACACUGAGUGAAUAUGAGUAAUAAGGAAGCUGACUGGCCAAUAGCUGAACAGGAUAAAGUUAGGUGGGAGAGCUAAACCGAGAAUGCUAGGAGAAAGAGCAGAACUGCAGAGUUGCCAGCAGACACAGAGAGAUGCAAAAUAGACAUGCAGUACUGAGAAAAGGUACCAAGCCACAUGGCAAAGCAUAGAUAAGAAAUAUGGAUUAAUUUAAAUGUAAGAGUUAGCUAGUAACAAGCCUGAGCUAUUGGCCAAUCAUUUGUAAUUAAUAUAAGUCUCAGUGUGUUUAUUUGGGAGCGCUGGCAGGACAGAAACUUCCACCUACACCUUAUCUCAUUGAACAUCAUAACUCAGCCACAGUGCACUAUACUGUAGUGAUUGUUUCUAAUAUAAUUAGGCAGCUGAAUGGGAGAGAGGUGCAGGUAGAUGUAGCAGUCCAACAUCAUGAGAAGGGAUAGUUAAACUAGAAAAAAAUCAAAAUUCAAAGUGUAGUUUCUAAUGAGUGAGUAUUGCUUGUACAUCAUCUAAAGUAGAAGAAUCAGAAAGUCAAACCACCCUAAGCAGUGUGCCUUUUAUGCCAUUUAUGAUGGAUCAUAACAGAAUGAGCAUAUUCUAGUAAAAUUAAAAAGAUAAAAUCUGCACUCCCAGUACUUUUUUCAUAAAUUUGCCUACUUUAAAACUUACUUAUAGGAACAUAAUGAUCCAGGUAGAAGUCAUGUCAUUUGAUUAUUUUCUAAGUAAUGUAGGAAGAAUUAUCAGUUAUAAGACGAAAGGCUUUAAUGCCAAUGGUCAAGGCUUCUUACAAACUGUACCUUUCCAUUUCCAUUGUGAGUUCUUCCCUGAUUCUAAAAGCUCCAAUAAAGAGUUGGAAGUCACUGCAAGAGAGGCAGUGUUGUUUUAAUUGCAAGUGAAUAUUAUUCCUGCUAGUUCAUAGGAAUUAUGUAAAUCAAAUAAACAAGAAAUAGAAUUGAUACGUUAUCCGAAACAGUAAUAAUCCAGAAUUUUCUGCAAUACAAUCCUGAAUACAGCAAGUUCUAUGUAAGCAACCAGUCAGUUCCAUGAAGAAAACCAUGAAUAAGGACCUGGCAUAGGCCAUGGCAAGAGACCAGAGUGGAUUCAGAAACAAGUCAAGGAGAUGGGAACUCAAACAACAGCAGUAGGUAGUGGUGCUUGCUUUGCUUUAUUUCUUAGUAGAUCUUAGCUCUUGUUUCAUCAAUGUGUCACUGAUAGUAAUUAGUAGCAAACAGGACCAUGUAGGGGUUCUGUAGCUUUAAAUUAACUUUGCUAAGAUUUUGUAUAUCCUUAAAUUAAAUUAUCUGUAAAUAUGAAGCACUUAAUCCUUCAUGAUUAAUUUCCGUCUCUUUUUCCUGAUCUUUGCACGAAGCUCUAUUUCAAUGAUUUUUGUCACAUAGGUGCAGAACAUAGAGAGAGCACAUAUGUGAGCCCACACAUCCACCAGGACUUCUAACUCAGCAGAACUUCUCCCAGAAGAUUCCUUCAUGUCCAUCAUCCAUGUAACUAAAAGCAGAUCUCACUAAUGCUCUCUGGACACUUAUGAGGACAUAAGAGCAGAGAACUUGAAGACUUGAGAACUCUCCAAUGAUGUAUGAUUACAAAAUUGGGGCAAGACCUGGACUUGUGAUGUUCUUCACAAAACGGGAAGAUUGAAAAAAGAAAUGGCGACAGAACUGAUGCGUAGAUGCUAAAAGAUUCACUGAAAGUUUUAAAAUGGGAAGACAUGCUCUCUAUGAAGGCCCCUUCAGUCAACGUGGAGUAGCCCUUCACCAUGCCAAAGAGACAAAUGCCAGCCAAGAGAAGCAAACCGAGAGCAACCUGUCGUUUACUCCUUCCGGUUCCUCCUCUGGCUUCCCCAUCCGCAGGGGGAACUCUCAAGCUGAGAGAUGUAAAUUCUCAAAGAUGGCAGAUUUUUAGAGAAUUUCAAAAGGAGGCAGAAGACUUAUGCUCGCCAUGCAAUUAUCAGGUAACUUCUGGUUAAACUUUUAACAUGCUGAUAUUAAUUUCACGUAAUGGAUUUAAAUGUAGAUCACUUAGGCAGUGGUAUCUUUUCAAACAAGCUAUUUAGAGACAAGAAUUUGAAGACAAUUAAAUUUGAAUUAGAGGCAGGUAGGCAUGAUUUUCCAUUGUUAAGACAUAAGACUAGAAUAAAAUGAUUAGCAUUUUAGGAAGCAAAAUACCAGAUCUUAACAACAAUAUAUCCUAAAUAUCCACUGAUUAAGCUCUGUCUGGUUUAAGGGAAAUAUUCACAUGUAAAUUCCCCUCCCUUCAGUUUACCUGGGGCUUCCAUUACAUAAGUCACCUGAUGUUCACUAAACAAAUAAGAACUUGUUAAUUAAUUAGCUCAUUGAGGAUCUUUAAUAUGCAAUUUGCAUGCCAAUGGUUACAUCUUUAUUUUAUUUUUAUUAUUAUUAUUACUAUUAUUACUUUUUUUUUGGUUUUUUGAGACAGAGUUUUUCCGUGUAGUUUUGAUGCCUGUCCUGGAUCUUGCUCUGUAGACCAGGCUGGCCUCAAACUCACAGAGAUCAGCCUGGCUUUUCCUCCUGAGUGCUGGGAAUAAAGGCGUGUGCCACGGCUGCCUGGAUGCCAAUGGUUACAUCUUAAACAAGUUAUCUAAAUGUUUAGGAAAAAUUCUUCUCAACUUUUCCAUUGUUUGCCUUGCCUGAUUCUUACAUUGAUAAAGGUAAAUUUCAGCAUAUGCAAACAGGUCAGAAAUAAUAAUUUCCAAAUCGAAAAGUAAACAAUGGAAGCCAUAUAGUCAGAGACUUUCAGCAGCUGUAAUUUUUAUUGUUGGGUUAUGUUGUUUUGUUAUAUAGUGGCAUACCUCUCUGUACAAGUGUGCACAUGUGAGUGUGUCUGUGUUGGCUACUGGCUGAAUCCCACUCCUCUUUAGGGUUUUAGCUAGUUUUUCUCAGCAUGAUGUGUUUCUCCCUAGGGCUCCAGAUUGAAUUUCAUUCUCUGCAGUUUGACAUUCCUUUCUCAUGUCUCUGAUUAUAGCCAGUCUAGCAUGUUGUUCCUCCUUGUCCUUCCUGUACACUGGUGGAUUUGUGGAGAUGAAGAAUUGUUUAUUUGAUGAACAUUGGCUACACUGAAAUUUUCUGGGUUUUUUCCCCCCAAGUAGUUGCUUAUUUUGGAGCUUAAUUUAAUUAAGAUCUUCUUUCUUAAAUAUAAUUAUUUUAUUCUAUUUACUUUUCUUUUGUCCUGGAGUUGCAGAGUUUUUACGCUGUCAAAUUAUCUUUAAAUUUUUACUCAAACAUUAGAUAAAUUCAGCAGCAGUUUGUGUGAUGUUCACCAAUCUAUUUCUUAUAAGAAUUUGAAUUUUUACAAUGAAAUCAAAUUACUAGACAGCCUGGUGCCAGAAAUAUGUCUCUAGGGUACAGGCACUUGCUACCAAAUCUAAAGCCUGAGACUUGAGCUCAGUCCCUGGAUUCCACAUGGUGGUCUAAGAGAGGUCACUUCUGAAGUUGUCCUCUGACCUCCAUAAAUACACCAUAGCAUACACCACACACAUACAACCCCCACACAAAUAAAUAAAUAAAUAAAUGUAAAAAUAUUAAAGAGAGUUAUUGUGGAAUAUUUUAAUAAAGUGACCUGUAGUAAAAUCUCUAUCUUCCACUCAUCAAUUUAUUCUUGCUUAUGUUAUUAAAACCAUUUCCUCACCUACAGAGUAGACAUACUGUAAGAUCAGUAUGAAGAUAUUAUGAAGAUACUUGUUAUUCAACAGUGUCUGCAGAAUUAGAAGUUUAUUGUUGAAAAUACAGAACAUGAUGUUUUCAGCAUGAUCUUAUUAUUUCCUGCGCUGAAACCUUACUGUCAUGCUACUUCCAUGCAAUCAUACACACACACAUACACACACUACAGAUUGUGUCAUGAAAAUGUCCAUGUAAGAAUGCAAAAUGUUGUCUUAACACCGAGGUAUCAUUCUGAAGCCUAAUCCAUUCAGUGACACAGGGAUGCCCAUGUAGUUGCUGCCUUGGGCUAUGUAAGCACGCUUCAUGAUGUUCAUACAGCGAUCUCAUCACAGAAGAAUGCAUUUCUCAGAUGUACUGAGGGUAAAUGGUGCAUGGCUAUCCUUCACUUCAGUUAUGUUUGAAUGUCUUAUAUUUGCAGUCCCAGAGACCUGAAUUUUGCUUAACUAGCCUAAGUACUUUCAGAAAAGAUCACUUAUGUUAAUAGAAAUGAGCUUGGCUAGCGUAAUGGAUGAUACAUUAUGUGCCUGGGCCUGCCCUUAACCAUCCCUCACGGGUGUCAAUACAAGAUUUUUAGCAUUCAGAAAAUAAAACUAUCUACAAAAUGA
Molecule: long non-coding RNA, 12376 nt
Organism: Peromyscus californicus insignis
Lineage: Eukaryota; Metazoa; Chordata; Mammalia; Rodentia; Cricetidae
Exons: 7
Source: RefSeq, a predicted model, not a curated record